GAUGGAUCGCCCCCCUCCGUUCAAGCCUCCUCCUCCUCCUGUAAAGUAUACUUCUGCCAUAUACAAGGAUUCCUCAGCACAGCCGUUACAGUGCUAAAAUCUGUUAAAACCGUAACCAUUGUACAGUACUUGUGAGGACAUGAUGGUCCUGAGAUGCGGUGCCUCCUUUGUCCACUGUAAAUGAAAUGAACUUUUUCAGGUGUUUCAACCCAAUGUGUGUACAUUUGGAAAUAAAGGUUUGUUUUUUCUUUCUUCCAUCCGUGCAAAGUCGCAUGUGAGAGAAUGAAACCACCCACAUUUUCAAUAAACCUAUCCAUCUUUAAAGGAUGAUCUCUCUCUUUGAAGUCUCAACUGCCUAAUUUCCUUUUAAACUAUGGAGAGAAAUAAAAGUUUCAUUCAUAUCAACUAAAGCCGUCAUGUUUUUCUUCAGACGUCGUUUGGAACAUAAUAAAACAGCUUCACCAUGAAGAAAGAUGGCUGCAUAUGAACAAGCAACAGGGAAACAGGGCACAUCCUGAUUAUUUACCAGAGCAGUAACCCAAAUCUAUUUAUGGAUUUCAUGACAUGGGUUCGUUUACAAGCUCAGAACAAAAAGGAGAUACAAAAAAAAUGGACUUUUGAGCCAAAUUAAUUUCCUCUAAAUGUGUUAGGAGACGUGAUUAAAAGGGAAUCUGCCAGCAUGCCUUCUGCUGUACGGUAUUCUACCUCAUUAUGAGGCGUGCGUCAGAACGAGGUUACGGUUUCCUGUUUGUAACUGACGAGCAGUUUUCAAAGUGCUGCGUUCAAGCGAGGAAAACUGAGCCCAGCGCAAAACUGGAAACCAGUUCACCGCCGUGAUCCGCCGUACAUCAGCCACACGGGGCCAGUUUGCUCAGCAACAGCUGGAUUAUGAAAGAGUGUGAAACUCUGCUGAUUUGCCUGGCGCUGAUCUUGUUGGCCCUGUUUCUCUCCAUGAUCCUGAAUAUCAUUUUUUGCCUCCAGCAAAGACCCUGUUUUUUCCAAGACAAAUGCUGCCUCAACGACCGAGAAAACAUGUCACAGGAUAAGGGGCGUUAUUUCCAUAACCCCAAUCAUGAUGAGCAGCAGGAAAAUUCCCACAGCAGUGAGGAACAAGAAAAUCCAAUCUACGGCAACCUGAGCAGAGACAGGAGAGGUUCUGCAGAAAUUUGCUAUGAGAUGAUGUCACUACAGCACAACAGAAGCCAGGCCAGGGCUUCGGAGCCUGACUUGAACUACGCGUCACUGGAUCUGAGCAAGGCAAAGAAACCCAAGAAGAAGCGUCGCCCCAAACAGGCCCAGGGAUGCAACAACCACCUCACGCCCCUGAACUCGUUCUUAGAGGUGGACGUGGACGUGGAAGCCCAGCUUCCACCGGGAGACGCGAGCCCCCUGCUCUCACACAGUAGCAUCUACCUCAACGCUCAGCAGAUAGCAAAGGGGACGGAGGACAUGGGGAGAGGACAGAGCGUGAAGACGGAGGCGGAGGGCUCCAAAUGGACCAACAGAGAUCGUGACGGUGAGGAGAGGAAAAAUAGAUGGGAUGGUAGCAAUGGGGACAUCUGCACAGAGGCUGCAGAGGCAGAGCGUUGUCACGGGGACACAGAUGCUUUUAAUGGAGUCUAA
Takifugu rubripes (torafugu) is the source of this 1623-nucleotide long non-coding RNA. The record is from Ensembl. NCBI's taxonomy places the organism in Eukaryota, Metazoa, Chordata, Actinopteri, Tetraodontiformes, Tetraodontidae.